RNAcentral lists this small RNA (772 nucleotides) under Pongo abelii (Sumatran orangutan). RNAcentral's name for it is "retained intron". The record is from RNAcentral. Lineage: Eukaryota; Metazoa; Chordata; Mammalia; Primates; Hominidae.
CGAGGACUACGGGGAGCCGGCGCCUGGGGAGCCGCCCCCGGUGCCGCGGCCCAGCCGUGAGCAGAAGUGUGUGAAGUGCAAGGAAGCCCAGCCCGUUGUGGUGAUACGAGCCGGAGAUGCCUUCUGCAGGGACUGUUUCAAGGCCUUCUACGUCCACAAGUUCAGAGCCAUGCUGGGGAAGAACCGGCUCAUCUUUCCAGGAGAGAAGGUGCUCUUGGCGUGGUCUGGGGGGCCUUCGUCCAGCUCCAUGGUCUGGCAGGUUCUUGAGGUGCGUGUUCACCACCCCCUGGACCUGGGCUGCUGGGCUGAGCUUCGGGCUGAGCUUCGGGCUGGGGGCCUCCCUUCUCAGCCUGCUGAGGGGCUCUUGGUUGGGGCUAGAGAGCAGUCUACCCCGCGGCCUGGACACCUGGAGAGUUCUCAGAUGUGUUUACAACAGGUGCACCAAUCAGAAGCUGAGUCCACAGUGCGUGUGUGCAGCCCACUCUCAGAUGUGUUUACAGCAGGUGCACAAAUCAGAAGCUGGGUCCAGAGUGUGUGUGUGCGGCCUACUUGACUUCUGUCCAUUUGCUCAACCUGCAUAGAAACACAGUCAGUGGAAAGCUGCAUCUUGGCUCAGCCGUGUGUGACCCGAGGGAAGAUUGGGAAAGGGGAGGGGGUUUGCCAGGAGAAGCAAAGGGAGCAGCGUUUGAGGUGGAGGAGACGGCACGCGCAGGGAGGUGGAGGCAGGCUCAGGCUGCACACAGGGCUCGGCUGGGGGUGGUGGGGCUGUGCC